ACUUAUAGCAACAUCAGCGUUUUCACUUUUCAGCAGCAUCAAUGGUGAGGUCAGAGGAGGAAGAAGAUGGGGGAGAUGGAGAUCGAAGGAAGAAAGAUGAAAGAUCCAAGCCGCUUCCAAUUCUUUCCUCAAUCUGCCACUGAUCACGGUCCUGCUAGGAGAUACUCUGCUUUUUCUCUCCGUUCAUAUGUGAGGAAACGCCCAGCAUGAAAACACGAGCACAAU
Molecule: long non-coding RNA, 225 nt
Filed under: Setaria italica (foxtail millet)
Lineage: Eukaryota; Viridiplantae; Streptophyta; Magnoliopsida; Poales; Poaceae
Description: long non-coding RNA (SITA_LNC002541)
Source: RNAcentral